UGUUUUCCUGUUUGAUUCUCCACAGAUAAAUUCACUGUGAAAAUCCUCACACUGGUAGGGUUCCAUUUGUGUGGAAUUUCACAGCCUGUGCCCACAGUCUAGCAAUGGAGGAGAUUUUGUUGUGUUUGGAUAGGAAAGAGAACUCUCAAAGCGUGCAGACUUCCUUCCUGGACCAUCCCUCUUUCUAUUACUUCCUCAUUAUAUUAGCAGCUGCCAGAGGAUCCAAGAUAAACCCUUUUUCCCAGGCUGCCUGAGAGGCCAGGAACCAGGCAGGGGCUGUUUUAUUGCCUCAUUAUCAGGGCCAACCUCCUGAUUUACACUGUAGACUGUAAACAACGUGGGCUUGUGUUUGCACACUUGUGAGUGCUUCCACACCCACACAGCACAUCCACACACCAAUGUUGUGUUAAUCCUGUGCAUUCUGAAGGAGAUUUUGGAAGUAUGGACUCAGCAACAGGUUCUUUUUGUAAGGUUUAUGCCUUACCACAGCCCAGCAAGGCUUUUCUGACGUGAUCAGCUGAGCCAAGAGAGCCACCAAUAUGUAAGCAAGUGCCCAUCUCAACCCAUCUUAUACUCACACAAAUGGAUGCUUUCACUAACAACACCCAGUCCUGCCCCCAACAGAAUGUGUACUGAUAGACUUAUGGGUGUGCAAGGGACUCCUUGAAGCAUGCUAGAUGUCUACAUGGAGAGCUCAAGGCAGGAAGAGAUGUCAGAGCAGCUUGGAGCAACAUCUGAUGACCCUUAUCUUCAUUUCUGUACCUUAGUCUCUCCUUCACCUGUAACCAAGACCUAUUCUAUGGCACCCCGUUUCUUAUUGCUCCUAUAUUUUGUCAUCAUAUGUGGGCUUGCCACCAGGAUGUAUUUAUUUGGAAGCAUAUAUUGAAACUGGAUAUGGUAGAAAAUACCACUAAUGUCAUCACUGGGGAGGCUGAAGCACAAGGAUUAGGGGGUUGGGCUCCACCUUGGCUACAUACUGAGCUUGAGGCAAGCCUGGACAACAUGGCUGUACAAGACUGUGUUUCAUAAAACGAUGAAAAGGGCUGGGCUUGGUGGCACAUGUCUUUAAUCCCUAUACCCAGGAGGCAGAGGCAGGCAGACUUUAGGCCAGCUGGGAUACAUACUGAGACCCUGCCCCCCAAAUAAAAGGAAAAUGAAAUCUAUAUGUUGUAAUGAUGUGGAAUCAUGUGUACCACAUUGUCAUUGCCACACACCCCCAUCAUUAAUGGAACUGGGGCAUCUAUAGGGCUGUUUAUAUAGGAGCCACAACCUAGUCUAACCAGGUACCAGUGGAUUGAUUUUAUAUAUAUAAUUUUUAACCAUUGGAUUUAUAUAUCUUGGCCUGGACCAGGGGUUGAUUUUAUAUAUAUGACUCCACUGAUAAAUGGAGCACCUUGAUGGCUGGGGGUAUAUUUCAGUGGUAACAGCAUUUACCUAGUUGUGGUGAGGCCUUGGGCUGCUCAGCACUGAAAACACACAUACUCUCUCUGUGUCUUUGAGUCUAUCACUGUCUGUCUGUCUCUGCCCCCCCCCCCUCUAACACACACACACAAUCUCUCAUAUGCCUGCCAUGCACAAAGCCCUGGGUUUCAUCCUCAUAACACAUACACACUUACCCUAUUGUACACUCUUUCCCUAUUGUACACACACACAUUAAAUGUUAAAAAAAAAAAAAAAGAUAACCACUAGAAACCAAAGACCAUCCUCUAAGGAACUGUCAGUUUUGCUGCUUUUUAUUUAACAUAUUUAAUGUAGAUUCCAGCGUUCCCAGUUUUCUAGUUUAUUCUCACUUUUGGUUGUCCCAUCCACCUAUGCCUAGCGAAGAAGGUUAUAGGCCUGGGUGCUCAAAUGUGACUGCAGUGGUUUUCCCAUGCUUGGCCAACGGGAAGUGGCACUAUUAGGAAGUGUUGGAGGAACUGUGUUGCUGUGUAGGUAGGUUUUGAGGUCUCCUAGUGCUCAAGUUCCCCACCCCCAGUGUGGAAGAGAACCUGCCUCCUCCUAGCUGCCUGCAGAAUAGAAUCUUCUCCUGGCCACUUGCAGAAGACAGUCUCUUCCUGGCUACCCUCAGAUCAAGAUAUAGAACUCUCAUCAUGCUCUCCGCCACUAAACAUUUGAAACUAUAUGCCAGCCCCAGUUAAAUGUUUUCUUUUAUAAGAGUUGCCUUGCCCACUGUGUCUCUUCACAGCAAUACAACCCUAGCUAAGACAGUGACUGAAUUUAUUUUCAUAUUUGUCAGAUGGAUAGUAAAUAAUUUCACACAUGAGCAAAGGCCAAAUACUGUGGUGGUGUCUCAUAGGUGUCAGAGAGCCAUCAAAAUGUGACACCAUGAGUCACCCUUCAGGAUACCUCUCUAACCCUAACCCUGAUGCCCACAUGAACUUAAUUUCUUCUCACAGGGUAUUUCUACUCAGAUCUUUGGAUAUUAAAAUAUUAAGCCAGUUGUCUGGUGCUUGUCUCCAAAAUACUCACUCCGUAGGCUGAGGCAGGAGAAUGAGGGGAGUUCAAGGCCAGCCUGGGCUACAAAAAUGAGCCCUCACGUCAAUAAAUAAACCAAGAAAUAAAUGCAAAACUUAGGAAAAACUUCCAAGCUUAGAGUCUGUUAGGAGUAUCCUACAUUCUCUCUCCAGCUCCCACAAGUUCUGAGUCGAGGAAAUUCUGGGCUAGAAUUGAACCUCAUCUUUUGCCCCUGCAUUCUCCAGCAGAGCAGCCCCAGGUACACACUGUAACACACACACUGGGCCUUCUUGCCCGCCCCCCCCCCCCACAGCUCACUAUUCAUUUCCUCUCCCCCUACACAUUCCAGCCCCUCCCAUCCUGCCCCUGACAAACCCUUUCGUGACCCUGCUAAGAAGCAAGUCACAGACUCUGCUCCAUUCUUUCUCCUUGCAAAGGUCCUUAACUGUGGCCCUGACUCCCCCAUUUCGUCCCACUUUGUGGGUGCCUCCUUUUUCUUGUUUGAAAGACGUUUCACCAGGACAAUUGGUCCUGGGUUCUCCAACCUAUUUAUGGAGUCCCCUCUGCCAUCUUUCUCCACAUCCCAGACAGGAGGGCAGUCAUCUGAUUCAUGCAGUGAUUCCUUCCAGUCCAGAACGGAUCCAGUUUCUCUCUUCCCUUGUUUGUGGCUCUUACUGCUGCAAAUGUUGUUCUUCUAAUGUUCAUCCUGCCAGUUCAGAAUAAGACCACUACCAGAAUUUAAAACCAAUCUGAAGCAAGCUUUAAUCGAAUACUGACCAAGUGGAUGAACAUGUACCAGGUCCAUACCUUGGUUCCCAGAAAAUGGCCAUUAAUCAUGUUUUGCAGAGGCUAAAAGAGAAAAACCCACAGUUUACUUCAUUUCCCAUCAUGUCCAGUCAGGGGCAAGCAUACAUCUUAAUAUAUAUAUUUCCUGUCCAGUCAGGAGCAAGCAUAUGUCCUACGUCCUGAUAUAUUUCUUUCCUGCCUUCCUCCUCCUCCUUCUUCUUUUUUUUUUUUUUUGGUUUUUCGAGACAGGGUUUCUCUGUAUAGCCCUGGCUGUCCUGGAGCUCACUUUGUAGACCAGGCUGGCCUCGAACUCAGAAAUCCGCCUGCCUCUGCAUCCCGAGCGCUGGGAUUAAAGGUGUGCGCCAACACCGCCUGACUUUUCCUGCCCAUCUUCUUCCUGCCCACAUGGAUCAAGCACAUCCAGUAUAUUUGGGUCAAACAAACAACAGCAAACAAACAAUAGCCUCCAGCGUUUAACGUUGGUUCUCACAUUAGCAUUUUCUCAAAUAUUUGACCCAUCCACUAACAAAAGGUAUGUACAAAGUUUCUAAAUUUCUAAAUGUUAAAUGGACAUUGUAUUUUCUUUUCUCUUCUUCUUCUUCUUCUUCUUCUUCUUCUUCUUCUUCUUCUUCUUCUUCUUCUUCUUCUUCUUCUUCUUUUCUCUUCUUCUUCCUCCUUCUUUCCCUCUUCCACCUCCUCCUCUUCUUCUCUCCCCACUUUCUUUUUCUUUUUUUGAAGACAGCAUGUGUGUGUGUGUGUGUGUGUGUGUGUGUGUGUGUGUGUGUGUGCUUAUCCCAUAGCCUAGGUGGCCUAGAACUCACUAUAGCCCAGGUUGGUCUGAACCUUAUAUCUCAGACCGGCCUAGACUUCACUUUGUAGCUCAGGCUGGCCUCGAACUUGCAUUAGCCCUCUUGCCUUAGCUGUUGGGAUCACAUCUGUGAGCCACCAUGUCCAACUUUAACUCUUCCCAUUUUAGAUAUAGCUUACAUCUCACAGGGUACUAUCUGUGAAACCAGUGAGCUCGUUGAAAAUGUAUAAUGACAUAGAAGCCGAAAAGGUGAGAUUAAAAAAAUAAACAAAUAGAGGUAUUGUCUUCCCAUGUCCUAGUGAGUGCUAUAGGGCAGGCCUGGGAAGACACACCCAGCACUGCACACAAGGACCAGAUGCUGACCAUGGUCCCGAGUCCCUGGCCCCUGCCACACUUUACUUCUCUUUCCUGCCUAGCAUGGUGUUUGUUUGUACAAAGCAGUGAGUUCUUUUUCUCUCUUCUUCAGGAACCUUUGGCGCUCUGGUCUAGCAGGGGACAAGUCUGUGUCCCAUGUGACCUGCAGGUCACUGCAGUCUCAGCAUGACCUCAGCUCCAGGCCUCCUCUCCUGCACCCUCUCUCUGUCUCCCCCUGUACUUCCUUGUACGGCCACUCCCAUGCAUCGAGGUUGCCCUCCUCACAGCUAUGUCCCAUGUCUUGGCACACAGCCACCUCCUGCUCAGCAACACGACUCAAUCACAGCGCCUCUUAACUCUUCAACUGGAUUAUGAUCCCCGUGAGGUCAUGGCUCAGGUUUCUCCUCCAUUCCUAACCUUCUCUGAGGACAGGGACCUGGACUUUGGACCCCACCUCUUCCUAUCACUUCAGUGCCAUUACUCUCUUUGAAGGAUGGCAAGGGUCAUGAGAGCCCUCGCAGUGGCCAUUUGGGCAGAGGCGGUCAUAGAGGCCGUGGAAUCUUGGGUGCAGCCUGACUUACAGAUGACUUGAGUGCAGCUUAACACUGCCUGUUACUAACUAACACAUUAACACUUAACACCGCAAAAUCUCCACUCCAGCUCAGCUCUGUGAAGCAGGGCUUGUCCCAGCAAUGGGGUAAUAAUAUAGUCUUUUAAAAAUUUAAUUGAAGAGCUGUUUUUUGUGGCAAUUACGCUUUUGACUGAUGACUACCUUAAGCCAAUGUUGAUACUUAACAGAUUCAUCAGCAAAGUGCCUAAUUAGGGCUCAGAACAUGAACAUACCUGCAUCUUUGAGCUGACAGUCUCCUGAAUUGAGCAGGAGGCCCUUACCAAUCAAUGCACCUACUCACUAGUGGCAGGCAGGAUGCUAAGGGCAUUUCAAGAUGCAGAGCAUUCAGGAACAGAUGACUUUGAAGCACCAAGAGUCACAAACCUGGAACUUCUCCGGAGUCUUCUUGGACUCUCUGUUAAAACUCAGCAGCGGGGGCUGGUGAGAUGGCUCAGUGGGUAAGUGCUCUUCUGAAGGUCCAGAGUUCAAAUCCCAGCAACCACAUGGUGGCUCACAACC
This 5531-nucleotide long non-coding RNA is filed under the name Mus musculus (house mouse). RNAcentral describes it as "long non-coding RNA chr17:3295054-3300585". The record is from RNAcentral. Lineage: Eukaryota; Metazoa; Chordata; Mammalia; Rodentia; Muridae.